This 1960-nucleotide ribosomal RNA is filed under the name human metagenome. RNAcentral describes it as "bacterial LSU rRNA". It matches the Rfam family "Bacterial large subunit ribosomal RNA", at positions 3 to 1980 of the family's 2925-position model. The record is from RNAcentral.
UCAAGCUACAAAGGGCGCAUGGUGAAUGCCUUGGCAUCAGGAGCCGAUGAAGGACGUGAUAAGCUGCGAUAAGCUUCGGGUAGGCGCACAUAGCCAGAGAUCCGAAGAUUUCCGAAUGAGGAAACUCACAUGGGAAACCCCAUGUAUCCAUAAGUGAAUACAUAGCUUAUGGAAGGUAAACCCAGGGAACUGAAACAUCUAAGUACCUGGAGGAAGAGAAAGAAAAAUCGAUUUUCUUAGUAGCGGCGAGCGAAAGGGAAAGAGCCCAAACCGGAAAUUUAUUUCCGGGGUUGCGGACAGAACAUUAACGAGAAGUUAUGGAUAAUUGAAGAUGACUGGAAAGUCAAGCCAUAGAGUGUAAUAGCCACGUAAGUGAAAUUCAUAAUAAUCAAGUUCUGAUCCAGAGUACCACGAGACACGUGAAACCUUGUGGGAAGCAGGGAGGACCACCUCCCAAGGCUAAAUACUACCUGAUGACCGAUAGUGAAGCAGUACCGUGAGGGAAAGGUGAAAAGAACCCCGGGAGGGGAGUGAAAUAGAACCUGAAACCGUGUGCCUACAACCGGUCAAAGCCCCUUAUGAGGGUGAUGACGUGCUUUUUGUAGAACGAGCCAACGAGUUACGGUAUGUAGCAAGGUUAAGUACUUAAGGUACGGAGCCGAAGGGAAACCGAGUCUUAAUAGGGCGACUAGUUGCAUGCCGUAGACCCGAAACCGGGUGACCUAUCCAUGGCCAGGUUGAAGCGGGGGUAAAACCCCGUGGAGGACCGAACCACGUUGCUGUUGAAAAAGCAUGGGAUGAGCUGUGGAUAGCGGAGAAAUUCCAAUCGAACUCGGAGAUAGCUGGUUCUCCUCGAAAUAGCUUUAGGGCUAGCGUCGGAUAUGAGUAGUGGAGGUAGAGCACUGAAUGGGCUAGGGGGCAUAGCGCUUACCGAACCUUAUCAAACUCCGAAUGCCACAUACUAUUAGUCCGGCAGUCAGACUGCGAAAGAUAAGUUCCGUAGUCAAAAGGGAAACAGCCCAGAUCGUCAGCUAAGGUCCCAAAGUGUAAGUUAAGUGGAAAAGGAUGUGGGAUUUCUAAGACAACUAGGAUGUUGGCUUAGAAGCAGCCACUCAUUAAAAGAGUGCGUAAUAGCUCACUAGUCGAGAGAUCCUGCGCCGAAGAUGUCCGGGGCUCAAACUUACCACCGAAGCUACGGGUUCACACUUAUGUGUGAGCGGUAGAGGAGCGUCGUAAUCGGGCUGAAGUCGUACCGUAAGGAGCGGUGGACUGAUUACGAGUGAGAAUGUUGGCAUUAGUAGCGAGAUGUGGGUGAGAAUCCCACAGGCCGAAUAUCUAAGGUUUCCUCAGGAAGGUUCGUCCGCUGAGGGUUAGUCGGGACCUAAGCCGAGGCCGAAAGGCGUAGGCGAUGGACAAUCGGUUGAUAUUCCGAUACCACUACUGAUCGUUAUUAUCGAUGGUGUGACGGAGAAGGAUAGAGUGUGCUAGCUAUUGGAUGCUAGUCUAAGCGUUUAGGGAGUUAGGAAAGGCAAAUCCGUCCUAACAAUUCUGAGGCGUGAUGGGGAAGGUUCUACGGAACCGAAGUACUUGAUUCCAUGCUUCCAAGAAAAGCAUCUAGAGAGAGAUGUAGUGCCCGUACCGCAAACCGACACAGGUAGAUGAGGAGAGAAUCCUAAGGCCGGCGGAAGAAUCACAGUUAAGGAACUAGGCAAAUUGACCCCGUAACUUAGGGAGAAGGGGUGCCUGCGAGAGCAGGCCGCAGAGAAUAGGCCCAAGCAACUGUUUAGCAAAAACACAGGUCUCUGCUAAAGCGAAAGCUGAUGUAUAGGGGCUGACGCCUGCCCGGUGCUGGAAGGUUAAGGGGAACACUUAGCGCAAGCGAAGGUGUGAACUUAAGCCCCAGUAAACGGCGGCCGUAACUAUAACGGUCCUAAGGUAGCGAAAUUCCUUGUCAGGUAAG